UACGGGGGGGGCAAGCGUUGUUCGGAAUUACUGGGCGUAAAGGGCUCGUAGGCGGCCAACUAAGUCGGAUGUGAAAUCCCCAGGCUCAACCUGGGAACUGCAUCCGAUACUGGAUGGCUUGAAUUCGGGAGAGGGAUGCAGAAUUCCAGGUGUAGCGGUGAAAUGCGUAGAUAUCUGGAGGAAUACCGGUGGCGAAGGCGGCAUCCUGGACCGACAUUGACGCUGAGGAGCGAAGGUCAGGGGAGCAAACGGG
RNAcentral lists this ribosomal RNA (253 nucleotides) under uncultured bacterium. RNAcentral's name for it is "partial 16S ribosomal RNA". It matches the Rfam family "Bacterial small subunit ribosomal RNA", at positions 524 to 776 of the family's 1533-position model. The record is from RNAcentral.